GUUGCAGUUAAAAAGCUCGUAGUUGAAGUUUUGGAUAGUAGUCUUUGUCUUUUCCGGCUUGGGGAGCAAUCCUCUUCGGGAAGGGCACUCUCUCCACAUUGUGGACCAUCCCUUUUUGUCUUUGCGAUUUUUUUCGCGAAAGCAGAAAGGGCCACUCCGUCACUGAGAGCAAAUUGGAGUGCUCAAAGCAGGCUUUACAGCUUUGAACAUAUUAGCUUGGAAUGACAAGAUACGACUCUGGUCGGUUUAUUUUGUUGGUUAUUUAGACUAGAGUAAUGAUUAACAGGAACAGUAGCGGGGGUACUCGUAUUGAAAGGUCAGAGGUGAAAUUCUUGGAUUCUUUCAAGACGAACGACUGCGAAAGCAUUUACCAAGGAUGUUUUCAUUAAUCAAGAACGAAAGCCUGGGGAUCGAAGAUGAUUAGAUACCAUCGUAGUCCAACGCCAUAAACGAUGCCGACUCGGGAUUGGUAGGUGUUCUUUUUAAAACAUGAACCCUAUCAGCACCGUAUGAGAAAUCAAAGUCUUUGGGUUCCGGGGGGAGUAUAGUCGCAAGGAAGAAACUUAAAGGAAUUGACGGAAGGGCACACCAGAGGUGGAGCCUGCGGUUUAAUUUGACUCAACACGGGAAAACUUACCAGGUCCAGACAUGAUGAGGAUUGACAGUUUGAAAGCACUUUCUUGAUUUCAUGGGUGGUGGUGCAUGGCCGUUCUUAGUUGGUGGAGUGAUUUGUCUGGUUGAUUCCGAUAACGAACGAGACGGGGGGAGUUUACUAGUUUGCAUAAUCUAAUUCGCGUUAGAUGGAACUUCUUUACUCGACAACUCGGUUUUACCGAGAGGAAGCGCCCCGCAAUAACAGGUCUGUGAUGCCCUUAGAUGUUCUGGGCUACACGCGCGCUACAAUGACGAGUUCAACGAGUUUUUUAUUCCUUGUCCGGAAGGAUGUGGGUAAUCUUUUCAAUGCUCGUCGUGAUGGGGCUAGAUUUUUGCAAUUAUUAAUCUUCAACGAGGAAUCUCUAGUAUGUGCAGUUCAUCAGACUGCGCAGAAUGCGUCCCUGCCCUUUGUACACACCGCCCGUCGCACCUACCGAUUGGACGAUCCGGCAAGAUGUUUGGAGUGUUGUGUUUGUGUGAUUUCGAUCAUGUGAACAUGACGCAAAGCUC
This 1164-nucleotide ribosomal RNA is filed under the name metagenome. Its description in RNAcentral is "bacterial SSU rRNA". It matches the Rfam family "Eukaryotic small subunit ribosomal RNA", at positions 612 to 1757 of the family's 1831-position model. The record is from RNAcentral.